Molecule: ribosomal RNA, 401 nt
Filed under: uncultured bacterium
Lineage: Bacteria
Description: bacterial SSU rRNA
Rfam family: Bacterial small subunit ribosomal RNA
Source: RNAcentral
UGGGGAAUAUUGGACAAUGGGCGAAAGCCUGAUCCAGCAAUGCCGCGUGAGUGAUGAAGGCCUUAGGGUUGUAAAGCUCUUUUACCCGGGAUGAUAAUGACAGUACCGGGAGAAUAAGCCCCGGCUAACUCCGUGCCAGCAGCCGCGGUAAUACGGAGGGGGCUAGCGUUGUUCGGAAUUACUGGGCGUAAAGCGCACGUAGGCGGCUUUGUAAGUUAGAGGUGAAAGCCCGGGGCUCAACUCCGGAAUUGCCUUUAAGACUGCAUCGCUAGAAUUGUGGAGAGGUAAGUGGAAUUCCGAGUGUAGAGGUGAAAUUCGUAGAUAUCUGGAGGAACACCGAUGGCGAAGGCAGCCUUCUGGGCCAACACUGACGCUCAUGCACGAAAGCGUGGGGAGCAAAC